CGGCCCCCAGCAGUGGAGGCACGGAAUCCUAACCACUGGACUGCCAGGGAAUUCCCAUCAUUUUCUCUUUUUUAAAAGGUGUUGCCCCAGAGUCUGUGGAAAAAGCCGUGUUAACAAACCUUCAUCAUGUCCUGUGAUGCUCCGGUUUCCGAGGUGGGCCGUGGGAUGUCAGCAGUGUGGUACCGCCACGAGCCUUCCACAGAGUUGUCUUUUGGCGCUGUGCCCAAGAUCUCCGACCACGACACUUAGAGCCUCAGUGUUCUCAGCUGUAAAAUGGCUCUAUGACCAGAGCUCACUUCUCAGCUUCAUCUCGGGGAUCCUUGAAAGAAGAUAUAUUCAACCUCAGCGCAACGCUUAGCACGGUUUUAACAAAUGCUGGGCAAACGCUCUGUAUCUAGGUUUGUUUUAUGGGAAAGCACUGGAAAUGUACUUCAGAAAAUAUUAACAGUUAUUAGCUUUGGACGGAGGAUUGUGGGUGAUCUUAAGUUAAAAAUUAUUAUUAUUUUGCAUUUCUUUUUUUUUCUAACUCCCCUGCACUCAUGAUUUGUGUUUUAUAAAGGGGAAAAUAAAAACGAGU
This is a long non-coding RNA of Aethalodelphis obliquidens (Pacific white-sided dolphin), 577 nucleotides long. RefSeq lists it as uncharacterized. The record is from RefSeq and is a predicted model, not a curated record. The transcript is spliced from 2 exons. NCBI's taxonomy places the organism in Eukaryota, Metazoa, Chordata, Mammalia, Artiodactyla, Delphinidae.